This 253-nucleotide ribosomal RNA is filed under the name uncultured bacterium. RNAcentral's name for it is "partial 16S ribosomal RNA". It matches the Rfam family "Bacterial small subunit ribosomal RNA", at positions 524 to 776 of the family's 1533-position model. The record is from RNAcentral.
UACGAAGGGGGCUAGCGUUGCUCGGAAUCACUGGGCGUAAAGCGCAUGUAGGCGGAUCGUUAAGUCGGGGGUGAAAUCCUGGAGCUCAACUCCAGAACUGCCUUUGAUACUGGCGAUCUUGAGUCCGGGAGAGGUGAGUGGAACUGCGAGUGUAGAGGUGAAAUUCGUAGAUAUUCGCAAGAACACCAGUGGCGAAGGCGGCUCACUGGCCCGGUACUGACGCUGAGGUGCGAAAGCGUGGGGAGCAAACAGG